GAUUAUGGCUCAGAACGAACGCUGGCGGCAGGCCUAACACAUGCAAGUCGAGCGCGCCCUUCGGGGUGAGCGGCGGACGGGUUAGUAACGCGUGGGAACGUACCCUUUGGUAGGGAAUAGCCACUGGAAACGGUGAGUAAUACCCUAUGAGCCCUUCGGGGGAAAAGAUUUUAUCGCCAAAGGAUCGGCCCGCGUUAGAUUAGGUAGUUGGUGGGGUAAUGGCCUACCAAGCCUACGAUCUAUAGCUGGUUUUAGAGGAUGAUCAGCAACACUGGGACUGAGACACGGCCCAGACUCCUACGGGAGGCAGCAGUGGGGAAUCUUGGACAAUGGGGGCAACCCUGAUCCCAGCCAUGCCGCGUGAGUGAAGAAGGCCUUAGGGUCGUAAAGCUCUUUCGCCUGUGAAGAUAAUGACGGUAGCAGGUAAAGAAACCCCGGCUAACUCCGUGCCAGCAGCAGC
RNAcentral lists this ribosomal RNA (460 nucleotides) under uncultured bacterium. RNAcentral describes it as "bacterial SSU rRNA". It matches the Rfam family "Bacterial small subunit ribosomal RNA", at positions 15 to 518 of the family's 1533-position model. The record is from RNAcentral.